Molecule: long non-coding RNA, 535 nt
Filed under: Ananas comosus (pineapple)
Lineage: Eukaryota; Viridiplantae; Streptophyta; Magnoliopsida; Poales; Bromeliaceae
Description: long non-coding RNA (ACOM_LNC013781)
Source: RNAcentral
UAAUACAUAUAUACAGAGAGAGAGAGAGAGAGAGAGAGUUGAGCUGAAAUGCUAUCAACAGUAAACGAACUUCGAUUCCACCCAUUUAUUUUUGAUGAUGGAGUUUUCAAAUCGACAAUCGGCACUGUUGCACAUAAUCUAUACCACUUAGAAGUAUCUAGAAAUUAAAUUUCAAAUCUUUUCGAAAUUAUUGACCUAAUGAUUAAAGGGUUUCAAAACUUGUAAUUUUAAUAGUCGAUAUGAGAUGUUUUCUUAUUUAACGGUACAUACAAAGACAUUCAAAUCAAUUGAAUUUUAGUUAGAAAAUUUUUUAAACAAUUUAGAACAAGAUCUAUACUCUCGAUCUUGAUUACAAGAUUUCUAUUAUCAUUGUUUUAAAAGAUAUUUAUUUUUAGCCGUUUAUUUUGUAUUCACUUAAUGGACACACAAGAGAAUAAUAUCAAAAAAAUAUGAAAUUUAAUUUCUAAAUAUUUUAAGUAGUAUAUAUAUAUAUAUAUAUAUAGAAACAAAAAAAAAAUAAUAAUAAUAAUAAGUA